AAGAAGGGUUUCAGUUGUCUUUGUGGC
Molecule: unclassified non-coding RNA, 27 nt
Filed under: Mus musculus (house mouse)
Lineage: Eukaryota; Metazoa; Chordata; Mammalia; Rodentia; Muridae
Description: piRNA piR-mmu-68460871
Source: RNAcentral